AUUGAACGCUGGCGGCAUGCUUUACACAUGCAAGUCGAACGGCAGCGCGGGCUUCGGCCUGGCGGCGAGUGGCGAACGGGUGAGUAAUGCAUCUGAACGUGCCCAGUAGUGGGGGAUAGCCCGGCGAAAGCCGGAUUAAUACCGCAUACGACCUGAGGGUGAAAGCGGGGGGCCGAGAGGCCUCGCGCUAUUGGAGCGGCCGAUGUCGGUAUAGCUAGGUUGUGGGGUAAAGGCUUACCAAGGCGACGAUCCGUAGCUGGUCUUAGGGGACGACCAGCCACACUGGGAGUGAGACAGGGCACAGACUCCUACGGGAGGCAGCAGUGGGGAAUUUUGGACAAUGGGGGCAACCCUGAUCCAGCCAUGCCGCGUGCGGGAAGAAGGCCUUCGGGUUGUAAACCGCUUUUGUUCGGGAAGAAAUACUCUGGGCUAAUACCCCGGGGGGAUGACGGUACCGGAAGAAUAAGCACCGGCUAACUACGUG
This 484-nucleotide ribosomal RNA is filed under the name uncultured bacterium. Its description in RNAcentral is "partial 16S ribosomal RNA". It matches the Rfam family "Bacterial small subunit ribosomal RNA", at positions 28 to 507 of the family's 1533-position model. The record is from RNAcentral.